Molecule: long non-coding RNA, 1572 nt
Organism: Passer domesticus (house sparrow)
Lineage: Eukaryota; Metazoa; Chordata; Aves; Passeriformes; Passeridae
Exons: 4
Source: RefSeq, a predicted model, not a curated record
UGAGACCCAGCUUGCCCACGUGUGGUGAGCUGCAGGAAUGUCUCAGGAUUGCUCUUGGGGGAUUGUCUGAGUGCUGUGUGGAGCUGCAGUCGUGUCUAGAAAACCAUCCAUCGUGUCAAGUGCUAAUAACAGGAAUUAAGAAGAUCUGUAAACGCAUUUUAUGAGCAAGUAUAAUCAGUUUGGUGUCUCUUAACAGGCUGGUAUGUGAUGACUCUGGAGAGCUUCAGGAAGGGGAGGCAAGGCAGAGCAUCAUCCCCUCUGAGAGGGUAUUUGCUGAAACUGUGGGGCUUUCUUGUAGCUGUGAGUGGGGCUGCUCCAUGCACAGCUGGGGUCUGACCUCACAAAUGCAGGGUUGUUUGUUGCUGUUGUAGUAGCCAGCCACCUGGGAAAGGCCUCUAAAACCAGUUAUUUUUUGUUACUUGGCUUGGGUCCCCAUCUCUCUCUGGUCCCAGGCAGAAGCAUGGACAACACAAGAACAAUUCACACAAGGACACGUUCACACAAGGACAACAGCACCAGGGGUUCUUCCUCGUCUCAGGAUGAUCGUUAGGAAAAAAAGUUGGAUUGACACAUGGGAAAUUGCUGUACUAAGGCUGGAGUGCGUGAGGAGUAUGGCCUAGCCCAUCUCCAUUCAAAGAUAUUUCUGCCCAGGAUAAUGCCCCUCUGGGGGUGGAGAAUGAAUGGAAAUUAGUUAUAGGGAGUUCCAAGGGAAGGCAAAAAUGAAAGCAAUUUAAUCAUAAGGUAAGUAUUUAUGUUGCAGAAAUAACUAAUUGGUAUUCAGUAAUAAAGAUCUUAGGAUAUAAAACAGAAAAAUGAAAUAUUUUAUGUGUGGAAGUACUUUUGAUAGAUUCUGAAUGCUAGAUUGUAUGCAGGAGUAAAUUUAUACCAUUGGUCCUGUGCAGAAAAAAAAGAGAUUUUUGUAAGGAAAACAGUCUCAGAGAAAGAGAACCUUACAUUUACAUCUAGAUAAAUUCAGUUUUUUCCUGUUAGUAUGUUGACCAAAACCCCGAACAUUUUUUUUUAAUGCAUACUCUGAAUGCUGCUUUGCACUCUACUGCACAGAGUAGGGGCAAGUGACUGAAACAGACUGAUGGGGAAAGCAUAAAAAUUAUUGUACAAAGAGAGAUUGUUUAGAUAUCUUUAUUUAGCAAGUGAAGUACAUUGCCAAUAGGAAGGAGGAAAAUGGAGACUCAGCUGUGUUUACCAAGGCAACAGAAAUUUUCCUGAAGUGAGGCCAACUUUGAUAUGAACUAUUAAUUUUGCUUGAUUUUUGCAGGGCUACUUCUGAACAGGACUUGAAUGUCAUGCUUUUGUGUGAGGGCAUAAACAUCUUUCUUUCAGUUCAUGUUAGUUUUACAUCCUUGCUUCUAAAAACUGAUGGCUGGUCUGGCACUUGAAAGCCCAUACCAUGGCUGAGGUUGUAGCAUGACCUGAAACAAGCUGCGCCCUCCGUGCUUUUGGGAAGGGCUGGGAUCCUUGUGGCACCAAAACAGGCUCUUGAAAUAAAGCCAAGUGCAUUGUGUUAAUCCUGUAUUUUUUGCUCUUCUCUUCUUCCACCUCAGCAAAGUUUUU